CCUACGGGAGGCUGCAGUGAGGGAUAUUGCACAAUGGGGGGAACCCUGAUGCAGCGACGCCGCGUGGGUGAUGGAGCGUUUCGGCGCGUAAAGCUCUAUCGGCAGGGAAGAAGAUGACGGUACCUGACUAAGAAGCCCCGGCUAACUACGUGCCAGCAGCCGCGGUAAUACGUAGGGGGCAAGCGUUAUCCGGAUUUACUGGGUGUAAAGGGGGCGCAGGCGGCCAUGUAAGCCAGGAGUGAAAGCCCGGGGCCUCACCCCGGGAGAGCUGUUGAAACUGCAGGGCUGGAGUACAGGAGGGGUACGCGGAAUGCGUGGUGUAGCGGUGAAAUGCGUAGAUAUUAGGCGGAACCCCGGUGGCGAAGGCGGCGUACUGG
This 377-nucleotide ribosomal RNA is filed under the name uncultured bacterium. Its description in RNAcentral is "partial 16S ribosomal RNA". It matches the Rfam family "Bacterial small subunit ribosomal RNA", at positions 338 to 732 of the family's 1533-position model. The record is from RNAcentral.